GACAAUUUACCUCCAGGUCCAACCUUAGCUUUAAUUCCUUCAUCUUCAUCAUCAGAUUCACUCUCAGAAGAAUCAUCACUAGAAUCUGCUGCCUUUUUAGUGGCUGGAGCAGAGGCCUUAGUUUUGACAGCACCAUUCUUGGUGAUGGUGGGAGGUAUCUUCUUGGCAGGAGCAGGUUCCUCAUCAGAAGAAGAUUCGUCACUAUCACUUUCUUCAGCAACAGGAGCUUUUGCUGGCAAAGCUUGCUUCUUUGGGGGAGCUUUAAUCUCCUCUUCAGAUUCAGAAACAUCUGAAUCCUCAGAGCUACUGGGCUCUUGCUUCUUCUUCGGCGGCGGCUUGCUCAAACCCUUCUUCGCCGCCUUCUCAACCUUUUUCGACUUCUUCUCCUCCUUCUUGGGCGGCACCACGACUUCCUUCUUCUGCUUCUUGGCGCUCACUGACUUAGCAGGAGAUUCCUCAGCUCCCCUCUUGCCCUUCUUAGCUGAUUUUGGGACAACGGCAGGGGCGGCGGCGGCGACGGCGACAUCAGAUUUCUUGCUUGACUUGCCCAUUUCAGUUAUAUAAAUUGAAUAUAAGCUGGAGACGGCGCCGGGGAAAAACCCUAGAUUUAGG
RNAcentral lists this unclassified non-coding RNA (612 nucleotides) under Hevea brasiliensis (rubber tree). Lineage: Eukaryota; Viridiplantae; Streptophyta; Magnoliopsida; Malpighiales; Euphorbiaceae. The record is from RNAcentral.